AGAGAUGUGUGAUGACGCAUAUCAAUAAGCGGAGGAAAAGAAACUAACAAGGAUUCCCUUAGUAACGGCGAGUGAAGCGGGAAGAGCUCAAAUUUGAAAUCUUCAAGGUUCUACCUUGACGAAUUGUAGUUUAAAGAAGUGUUUUUCUGUUGGAGUUUUGGUAAAAGUUUUCUUUGGAAUAGGACAUCAUAGAGGGUGAGAAUCCCGUAUUUGGUCAUUCUUUCUAGCUUUGUGAUACACUUUCAACGAGUCGGAUUGUUUUGGGAAUGCAGUCCAAAAUGGGUGGUAAAUUUCAUCUAAAGCUAAAUAUUGGCGAGAGACCGAUAGCGAACAAGUACCGUGAGGGAAAGAUGAAAAGAACUUUGGAAAGAGAGUUAAACAGUACGUGAAAUUGUCAAAAGGGAAGCGUUUGACACCAGUGUUGUUUUUUCCGAAAAUCAAUUACGAAUGUUUUGUUUUUGAGGAGUUAUGACUUCAUCGGCUUGCUCCUUUCUUUAUGGAACUUUCUUAAUGCACUUUUCGGUUAACAAGUCAACAUCAAUUUCUUUUGUUGUAAAAGGGUAUGAGGAAGGUGGCUUUCUUUUCGGAGAAAGUGUUUAUAGCCUUGUACCUCUGCAAUCGGAGAGAUUGAGGUCUGCAGCGUAGAUCCUUCGGGGUUAGAUACAUUUGUGCUAAGUUAUAGCCUUUCAUAGACAACUUGUUGACUAUGUUAAGUCUUGUAGCUUACUCGCUUAUGCUAUUUUACCUACGCUUAGGAUGUUGACGAUCAGCUGAGCGCG
RNAcentral lists this ribosomal RNA (779 nucleotides) under uncultured Neocallimastigales. RNAcentral's name for it is "partial large subunit ribosomal RNA". It matches the Rfam family "Eukaryotic large subunit ribosomal RNA", at positions 23 to 648 of the family's 3401-position model. Lineage: Eukaryota; Fungi; Neocallimastigomycota; Neocallimastigomycetes; Neocallimastigales. The record is from RNAcentral.